AACGCGCAUAUGGACUGUAACGUUAGUGUAUUUGUAUGUGUGCUUGUGGAACAGAGGAUGCGGCGAAUUAUUAAAAUUCAAAGUGCUUUUCCGUCUCAUUAAAGAUAUAUAGGCAGUUAAAUAAAACCUUCCUGUGCUCUUUCUAGGCUAUUCAAGUCCCAGUAAAAUUAGCGUUAGCUAAAGCACGAAAUCAAGUACAAAUAAUGCCACAUUCGACUUCUGCAUACUUUUAACAUUUUAUCUGCUAUUCGUUUUUAUAACAGCAUACAUUUGAUCACGGAUUUCUUCAUCGCUGCCUGAUUUUGGCGAAAUGAAGGAAUGGCACAACUUUACUGACGGAGAAAAAAGUUUUGGCUAAGAGGAAUGCACGCAGUUGUAAAUGUGAACUGGUGGAUGGUUAAGAAGCUGAUGUGUCUUCUAGAAAUCUAAACAAAUUUGUGCAGAAUAACCAUAGGUCCAUUAGUGUCAACUGUCUUUGCCAGUGGGUGGAUCCACACUGCAAAACUUAUGAAGAUGAUUGCAAACCGAAGAAGAGUCCUUGGACAAAGCAUUAAACCCUCUUGGUCCCCACUACACAGACUAAUGACGUUGAAGUACCCAAAUGAAGACACUAGCAGUGUUAUUAUGGAGUAUAUGGAUACAGACGUUGGCAGCACUCAGGAGGUGAUCCAGAGGAAUCAUGGGAAUCUAUGUCAUACGAUUUGAAGGUGCAGACAUUGAAGACAGCACAGCAGAUGUUGGAGUGUUGGAAGAUAAAGUUCUUCAGGACCUUAGCAGUAAACCCUAUGAAAAACAUGUU
Labeo rohita (rohu) is the source of this 799-nucleotide long non-coding RNA. RefSeq lists it as uncharacterized. NCBI's taxonomy places the organism in Eukaryota, Metazoa, Chordata, Actinopteri, Cypriniformes, Cyprinidae. The record is from RefSeq and is a predicted model, not a curated record. The transcript has 5 exons.